GACGAACGCUGGCGGCGUGCUUAACACAUGCAAGUCGAGCGGUAAGGCCCUUUCGGGGUACGACGAGCGGCGAACGGGUGAGUAACACGUGGGUGACCUGCCCUCCAGCUCUGGGAGUAAGCCUCGGGAAACCGGGUACUAAUACUGGAUAUGACUCCAUGACGCAUGUUGUGGGGUGGAAAGCCUUGUGCGGCUGAGGAUGGGCCCGCGGCCUAUCAGCUUGUUGGUGGGGUGAUGGCCUACCAAGGCGACGACGGGUAGCCGG
This 265-nucleotide ribosomal RNA is filed under the name uncultured bacterium. Its description in RNAcentral is "partial 16S ribosomal RNA". It matches the Rfam family "Bacterial small subunit ribosomal RNA", at positions 28 to 290 of the family's 1533-position model. The record is from RNAcentral.